UACAGAGGGUGCAAGCGUUGUUCGGAAUUAUUGGGCGUAAAGCGCGUGUAGGCGGCUCGGAUAGUCGGGUGUGAAAGCCCUGGGCUCAACCCAGGAAGUGCACUCGAUACUGCCGAGCUGGAGUCCCGGAGAGGAUGGCGGAAUUCUCGGUGUAGAGGUGAAAUUCGUAGAUAUCGAGAGGAACACCUGUGGCGAAGGCGGCCUUCUGGACGGUGACUGACGCUGAGACGCGAAAGCGUGGGGAGCAAACAGG
This 253-nucleotide ribosomal RNA is filed under the name uncultured bacterium. Its description in RNAcentral is "partial 16S ribosomal RNA". It matches the Rfam family "Bacterial small subunit ribosomal RNA", at positions 524 to 776 of the family's 1533-position model. The record is from RNAcentral.